AUUCCCACUGCAUCUCUCUCUCUGGGUCUAUGCCUUUCUUCCCUGUUGAGUGACAUCCAGUGGGAGUCCGGCCGGUGAUAAUGAGGAGUCAAUCUUGUUAGAAUUAGUCAACAACAUACAGGUCGGCAGUCAUGCAAUCCAUUCUGAGGACAGGAGAGCAGGGCAGAGGAAAGUGAUCAGAGAUUUGUAAUUAAAGGGAAAGGUUCUCUCAUGAACGGACUCUCUUCAUCUAUCUGUUCCAAACCUGUACGACAAUCUAAUCUGGGACACAACAGGAGAUAUUAAGAGACAUGCCACAGCUGCUCUUUUCCCUUUUCCCUCCAAUCACACAGUGAUUUGAGGAUCACAGUAAUCAGCCAAACCCCAGGAGCCCCAUUACAGACAAACAGGACAAACACUCUGGGCCUGUAGUUACAGAUCCUACUUCACUGUGUGUGCAAUGAAUGAAAUGAAUUUCUAUCAUUGCUCUGAAAGAGGCAUCAACAUCAGAGUUAAAGAUUUGUCUCCAGCCUCUCAGUAAUUGCUGCCUGAUGAGGGUCUUCCUGAGGCGAUGUGAGACUCAUCAGUCUCCGGGCCAUCGGCACUCCCCCGGCCGCGCGUCUCCAUAGCAUAAUUUGUCAUCCUGAUGGAGAGCUAAUCUGACAGGAUGUCUGCCCACAGACAGAGAAGGCGAGAUAUUCUGUCUGUACGUAUCCUUUAUUUCCUGCACUGACUCAGUUUCUCUGUUUGUCUGACUCUCAUUUUCUCGCUGCCUCUGUAUGCCACUUAUCUGCCUCAAUCUAUCUCUCUGUGAGCGCUGCGGUUCAGCAGGUGUCUGCCCUUGUAAACCGCCCUAAUAAAAAUCCUGGGAUUUGACAAUCUGUCUCUGAAAAUAUGCUUUUGCUCACCAACAACAACUCUCUCUUUUUCCCUCAUUCCAUUUCCUCUCUCUCAGUUCUGUUUAGUCUCUCGUCAGACAUUUAUCUCUUUUUACAUGUCUGUUUUUAUCUUGUCAUUCCUUAAAUGAAUUUAAAUGUCAUCUUUGACAACAUCUGUAUGAUUUUUUGGCAUUAUAAAAGAGACAAAAUGCACAGCAUGAAAGAAUAUUCACAUUUUGUUCUUUUGAGAAUGCUGAAAGGAAGGUAAACAGGAGAAUGAAAGGAAUAUUCACUCAAAAUCAGAAGUUCUGUUAACAGUUUUUCACCCUCAUGUCGUUGUAAACCUGUGCCACUUACUUUCUUCUGCUGAACACUUUUCCACCGCAAAACAAAAAGUAAAAGAUGACAAAAGGCACCAUAAAUGUAUUAAUUAUGAGUUAUGCGCUUUUGUGGUUUAGAUGCACAAAUUACUGUAUUUAUUUUGGAAGUGUCCUAAAUCAACUUGUUUCUGGUCAAAUUCCUGAUCAUUUAUUAAAGUUGUCAUGUCCUGUCAUGGCCAGUUUACAGGAGUUUUGUAAAUGUCUUGUUUUUCUCACUUAUAACUGAUAUGUACAGUAUGUAUUCACUGCUAAAGCAUUAGCUAAAUCUAGUACAAAAAAAAAAAAAAAAGUUAAAUAAGUGAAAAACAUAUUUACAUUUAAUAAAAAAAAGCUGUAAAAUGUGUUAAUAUAUAUAAAGCUUUUUAAUCUUACCUUUCUAAUUUUUAUUUCCAUUUUUUUUUCGGUUUAUUUUAAUGAACUCCCUUUUGUAUUUGUAAACCUUUAAAAAACUAGUGAUGUAUUAAAUAUUUAGUUGCACAAGGAAGAAACCAACAUAUAAGUUAUUAUUCACUCAAACUCAAAAUAAUGAGUGUUAGUAAAUGGCCACCAAAUGUUUGAACGGUGUGUUU
This is a long non-coding RNA of Carassius gibelio (silver crucian carp), 1806 nucleotides long. RefSeq lists it as uncharacterized. The transcript is spliced from 5 exons. Lineage: Eukaryota; Metazoa; Chordata; Actinopteri; Cypriniformes; Cyprinidae. The record is from RefSeq and is a predicted model, not a curated record.